UACGUAGGGUGCAAGCGUUAUCCGGAAUCACUGGGCGUAAAGCGUGCGUAGGCGGACUCUUAAGUGAGGUGUUAAAUCGUGUGGCUCAACCAUAUCGAUGCAUCUCAUACUGGGAGUCUAGAGGACAGCAGAGGCAAGUGGAAUUGGCAGUGUAGCAGUGAAAUGCGUAGAUAUCAAGUGGAACACCAGUGGCGAAGGCGGGUCUCUGGACAGUUCCUGACGCUGAGGCACGAAGGUCAGGGGAGCAAACGGG
Molecule: ribosomal RNA, 253 nt
Filed under: uncultured prokaryote
Description: partial 16S ribosomal RNA
Rfam family: Bacterial small subunit ribosomal RNA
Source: RNAcentral